AUAAACUUUUUGAAAAGAGAUAGUAGAUAAUGAAAUUUAGCUAAAGAGAAUCCCGAGUGGUGAGAAGGGAUGCUGUAGUCAUUAUUGAAUGGGUCUUUGAAAGGAUAUUCCGAUAUGUAGGGGUAUACGGAGAGUCUACCGUUAAAAAGACAGGGUAUCGAAGAAAUUUCCGUACCUGAGAUAGUGUAAAAACAUAGGUGGUAUAGCAAAGAAUACACUUUGUCCUAGUU
Molecule: non-coding RNA, 230 nt
Filed under: Clostridium cavendishii
Lineage: Bacteria; Bacillati; Bacillota; Clostridia; Eubacteriales; Clostridiaceae
Description: T-box sequence
Rfam family: T-box leader
About the family: Uncharged tRNA acts as the effector for transcription antitermination of genes in the T-box leader family. T-boxes are found upstream of many aminoacyl-tRNA synthetase genes and some amino acid biosynthetic genes usually in Gram-positive bacteria.
Source: RNAcentral